This 504-nucleotide ribosomal RNA is filed under the name uncultured bacterium. Its description in RNAcentral is "partial 16S ribosomal RNA". It matches the Rfam family "Bacterial small subunit ribosomal RNA", at positions 29 to 507 of the family's 1533-position model. The record is from RNAcentral.
ACGAACGCUGGCGGCGUGCCUAAUACAUGCAAGUAGAACGCACAGUUUAUACCGUAGCUUGCUACACCAUAAACUGUGAGUUGCGAACGGGUGAGUAACGCGUAGGUAACCUGCCUGGUAGCGGGGGAUAACUAUUGGAAACGAUAGCUAAUACCGCAUAAUAUUGAUUAUUGCAUGAUAAUUGAUUGAAAGAUGCUAUUGCAUCACUACCAGAUGGACCUGCGUUGUAUUAGCUAGUAGGUGAGGUAACGGCUCACCUAGGCGACGAUACAUAGCCGACCUGAGAGGGUGGACGGCCACACUGGGACUUAGACACGGCCCAGACUCCUACGGGAGGCAGCAGUAGGGAAUCUUCGGCAAUGGACGAAAGUCUGACCGAGCAACGCCGCGUGAGUGAAGAAGGUUUUCGGAUCGUAAAGCUCUGUUGUAAGAGAAGAACGGGUGUGAGAGUGGAAAGUUCACACUGUGACGGUAUCUUACCAGAAAGGGACGGCUAACUACGUG